Molecule: ribosomal RNA, 438 nt
Filed under: uncultured bacterium
Lineage: Bacteria
Description: partial 16S ribosomal RNA
Rfam family: Bacterial small subunit ribosomal RNA
Source: RNAcentral
GACGAACGCUGGCGGCGUGCCUAAUGCAUGCAAGUCGCACGCGGCACCUUCGGGUGCUGAGUGGCGAACGGCUGAGGAACACGUGGGGACCUGUCCGGGAGUGGGGGACAACACCGCGAAAGCGGUGCUAAUCCCGCAUACGCUCUGAGGAGGAAAGCCGAAAGGCGCUCCCGGGUGGCCCUGCGGCCCAUCAGGUUGUUGGUGGGGUAACGGCCUACCAAGCCAAUGACGGGUCGCUGGUCUGUGAGGACGACCAGCCAGACUGGGACGGGGACACGGCCCAGACCCCCACGGGGGGGAGAAGGAAGGAAUUUUCGGAAAGGGGCGAAACCCUGCCCGGCCAACGCCGGGUGCAGGAAGCCGGCUUUGGGGUUGAAAACUGCUUUUGCUAGGGAUGAAAACAGAAAGUACCGGGGAAAUCCCCCCCGGCGAACUCUG